This 61-nucleotide transfer RNA is filed under the name Ictidomys tridecemlineatus (thirteen-lined ground squirrel). RNAcentral's name for it is "Spermophilus tridecemlineatus (thirteen-lined ground squirrel) tRNA". It matches the Rfam family "tRNA", at positions 6 to 65 of the family's 71-position model. From Rfam's summary of the family: Transfer RNA (tRNA) molecules are approximately 80 nucleotides in length. The record is from Rfam by way of RNAcentral. Lineage: Eukaryota; Metazoa; Chordata; Mammalia; Rodentia; Sciuridae.
UGUGGCUCAGUGGUAGAGCACUUGCCUAGCAAGUCUGAGGCACUGGGUUCGAUUCUCAGCA